CUCGGGCCUCCUUGCUCCAGGUGACAAUAUGCGUCUGUGGUUUGAGUGCAACCAUCACUGACCAAAAGCUACCCAUGAGAUGCCAUGAAUCCAUGCUGCUUAAUUCUCAUGUUUGUGACUAUCACUGAUGACAGUAUGCCUUCAGCACGCGAAAAGAUGAGUAAAAGUGUUAUAUACAGCUUCGACUUACUGCUCACGGAGAUGAUGACUGAACAACGCGCCAUCGAUUCAUUCGUGUUCGACGAGGGAACCGACCUUGUGGGAUCGGUUCACAAAAAGUAAUAGGUUGGUACAAGAUCAUGGACUCCGAUUACGAUAAGCGUGCAGAGGGAGACUUUUCGUGAACCCUUUGAAUCGUCUAUCAGCGCGAAAGGUUGUGUCAAUUUUUAAAAAAACUGUACUCAAAUCAGGUCUCCGCGCAGGCGCUGGCAAGGAUGAUGGCGCAGACAAGAGUGGCUCGUCAGGUGUAGAUGUAUUUGCAUUGAAAUAAACUACAAGCUGAGCUUAUCAUGUGAAUCUUUCGGGAACUCAGUGUUUGACUCUUGUGAGCCCAUGAGCGAGGUUCAAUCGUGAUAAUGUUUUUGAUGAAUUACUAGUGAACUCGACGGAGACAGAACAUUUUUUCUGCUAAACAGGGGUUAUACAUUGACGACGCUAUGGUAAUGAAUGGCCUGCAGCGCUUCAGUUACUGCUGUAUCUACAUUGCAGCUGUUACUCGUCUGCGAUUGUUGUUUAAACGCGAUAUUCUAC
Molecule: long non-coding RNA, 750 nt
Filed under: Physcomitrium patens
Lineage: Eukaryota; Viridiplantae; Streptophyta; Bryopsida; Funariales; Funariaceae
Description: long non-coding RNA (PPAT_LNC004503)
Source: RNAcentral